This 253-nucleotide ribosomal RNA is filed under the name uncultured bacterium. RNAcentral's name for it is "partial 16S ribosomal RNA". It matches the Rfam family "Bacterial small subunit ribosomal RNA", at positions 524 to 776 of the family's 1533-position model. The record is from RNAcentral.
UACGUAGGUGGCAAGCGUUGUCCGGAAUUAUUGGGCGUAAAGCGCGCGCAGGUGGUGCGGUAAGUCCUGUGUGAAAUCUCCCGGCUCAACUGGGAGGGUGCGGAGGAGACUGCCGGACUGGAGGCACUCAGAGGCCGGUGGAAUUCCCGGUGUAGUGGUGAAAUGCGUAGAGAUCGGGAGGAACACCAGUGGCGAAGGCGGCCGGCUGGGGGUGACCUGACGCUGAGGCGCGAGAGCGUGGGGAGCGAACCGG